This 253-nucleotide ribosomal RNA is filed under the name uncultured bacterium. Its description in RNAcentral is "partial 16S ribosomal RNA". It matches the Rfam family "Bacterial small subunit ribosomal RNA", at positions 524 to 776 of the family's 1533-position model. The record is from RNAcentral.
UACAGAGGUCUCAAGCGUUGUUCGGAUUCAUUGGGCGUAAAGGGUGUGUAGGUGGCGCCGUAAGUCGGGUGUGAAAUUUCGGAGCUUAACUCCGAAACUGCAUUCGAUACUGCGAUGCUUGAGGACUGGAGAGGAGACUGGAAUUCAUGGUGUAGCAGUGAAAUGCGUAGAGAUCAUGAGGAAGACCAGUGGCGAAGGCGGGUCUCUGGACAGUUCCUGACGCUGAGGCACGAAGGUCAGGGGAGCAAACGGG